Long non-coding RNA from Daphnia magna, 848 nucleotides. RefSeq lists it as uncharacterized. The transcript is spliced from 3 exons. NCBI's taxonomy places the organism in Eukaryota, Metazoa, Arthropoda, Branchiopoda, Diplostraca, Daphniidae. The record is from RefSeq and is a predicted model, not a curated record.
AUAUUACCAAAAUUCUCAUUGUAGUGCAGUCUGCGGAGGACCGUUGCUUGUCGAAAAGAAAAGACUUUUGAAAUGUAUGAGCUGAUCAACUACAAAGGUAUGACAAAGAGGCCAUCUGUGGCCAAGCACCUUGUUGACCUAUAUACAAUAACCCGUUUCAUUUGACAAACAAUAAUUGCACGUGGCCCUGUUGUCAACGAGAAACAAACAGGAUGUUGGCACGGUGUAAGUGACCUGCCCGACUUGAAAAUGAAAUGUAGCGUGAUGCGUGUGGCACAUGUGGUACGAGAUCCUUGUCUGUCGCUACUGCGUCAGCAUGCCACCCGUUGACACGUAAAAUGUUCGAGAUAUUUCUAACAUACGAAAACAGUAAAACACACGGCGAAACGAUGCUGUGGUCCCAUCAUUUCUCUAUCAUCACCGUUUGCCACAAUCAGGUGUUUAAGAAUUAAUGGAAGAUGUGAUCCCUUUACAUAAAAUGCUUUAACCAAUAUGAAAACAUUAAAACUCAUGAGAUUUUAAUAGCAGGUAAUAUGUAUAAGUUUACGGUGCAAAAGAUAAACAAACAAUGUCUGUUGAAAUACGAUGCAUACUGUUUGUGCAGGGUUUGUGUACUAGUUCAAAACCUCAUCGUUUACGUGAAAUGAUUCAAUACCGUGGAUUACCUUAGAAAUUGUCAUGUCUGUAAUUUACGUGUACCCAAUACAGCUAUAGGAAUAGCGCGGAAAUAGUUUAUUGAAUCAGAACAGAUCACUCACAAAAUCAAUUUCAGCUUUUGUGAGCCUCGCAACAAAACGAAUUGAACCACAACUCCAAGAAAACGAUUAACAAUAACAACAACGAUCGGA